Molecule: non-coding RNA, 132 nt
Filed under: uncultured eukaryote
Lineage: Eukaryota
Source: RNAcentral
CUUUUUCUUUCCUUUUUUUUUCCUUUUUCCUUUUCCCCUUUUUUUCCUCUUUUUUUUAGUGAGACUGAUAUUAUUACCGAGAAGAAGAAAAAGAGGAUGUCAUAAUAGUGAUAUUGAUAGUAUUAUUAAGAA